AUGGUGCAAUAUCCGAGCUUGUAUAGGAUUGUUAGACAUAAAUUCGUCACAAUCAAAUAAGUUUUAGGACAAGAAAACCCUGAUAUUUCUUUCUGUAGGGACCUUUUUGGCCCUCGCCUGGCAGCAUGGAAUGAAUUACUCACUCGCCUGGAGGACAUUCAACUGUCAGAUGAGCCGGACAUUUUUCGAUGGAACUUGCAUCAGAAUGGCAAAUUUUCAGUC
This 222-nucleotide ribosomal RNA is filed under the name Triticum aestivum (bread wheat). Its description in RNAcentral is "partial small subunit ribosomal RNA". The record is from RNAcentral. Lineage: Eukaryota; Viridiplantae; Streptophyta; Magnoliopsida; Poales; Poaceae.